GGAGUCAGACAGUGAGUGCUAAGAUCCAUUGUCAAGAGGGAAACAGCCCAGAUCAUCAGCUAAGGUCCCCAAGUGUGUGUUAAGUGGGAAAGGAUGUGGAGUUGCAAAGACAACCAGGAUGUUGGCUUAGAAGCAGCCAUCAUUUAAAGAGUGCGUAAUAGCUCACUGGUCGAGUGACUCUGCGCCGAAAAUGUAACGGGGCUAAACACACCACCGAAGCUAUGACAUGUGCCUAUAUGGUACUUUGGUAGGGGAGCGUUGAAUACGGAUUGAAGUUGGACCGUGAGGACUGGUGGACUGUAUUCAAGUGAGAAUGCCGGUAUGAGUAACGAAAAGACAAGUGAGAAUCUUGUCCGCCGAAAGCCUAAKGGUUCCUGAGGAAGGCUCGUCCUCUCAKGGUAAGUCGGGACCUAACGCGAGGCCGAAAGGCGUAGUGGAUGGACAACAGGUUGAAAUUCCUGUACCACCGUAAACMGUUAUGAGCAAUGGGGUGACACAGAAGGGCAGUGACGCGGGCUGAUGGAAUAGCCCGUCCAAGCAGUGAGGCUGAUCGAUAGGCAAAUCCGUCGAUCAUUAAGGCUGGGCUGUGAUGGGGAGCGAAAAUUGUAGUAGCGAAGGUCAUGUACUCCGGCUGUCAAGAAAAGCCUCUAGCCAGGUGAAGGUGCCCGUACMGCAAACCKACACAGGUAGGCGAGCAGAGCAUGCUAAGGCGCGCGGAAGAACUCUCGUUAAGGAACUCGGCAAAAUGACCCCGUAACUUCGGGAGAAGGGGUGCCUCGGUAKGGUUAAUAGCCCGAGGGGGCCGCAGUGAAAAGGCCCAAGCGACUGUUUAGCAAAAACACAGGUCUGUGCGAAGCCGUAAGGCGAAGUAUACGGGCUGACGCCUGCCCGGUGCUGGAAGGUUAAGGGGAGCGGUUAGGGGUUAAACCCGAAGCUGUGAACCGAAGCCCCAGUAAACGGCGGCCGUAACUAUAACGGUCCUAAGGUAGCGAAAUUCCUUGUCAGGUAAAUUCUGACCCGCACGAAUGGCGUAACGACUUGGGCGCUGUCUCAACGAGAGAUCCGGUGAAAUUUUAAUACCUGUGAAGAUGCAGGUUACCCGCGACAAGACGGAAAGACCCCAUGGAGCUUUACUGUAACUUGAUAUUGAACUUUGGUACGAUCUGUACAGGAUAGGUKGGAGCCUUWGAAGCAUGAGCGCCAGCUUGUGUGGAGGCAACGUUGGGAUACCACCCUGAUCGUAUCGGAGUUCUAACCUAGAACCGUGAAACCGGUUCGGGGACCGUGUCAGGUGGACAGUUUGACUGGGGCGGUCGCCUCCUAAAAUGUAACGGAGGCGCC
This 1341-nucleotide ribosomal RNA is filed under the name Bacillus sp. FJAT-28004. RNAcentral describes it as "bacterial LSU rRNA". Lineage: Bacteria; Bacillati; Bacillota; Bacilli; Caryophanales; Bacillaceae. The record is from RNAcentral.